Podarcis lilfordi (Lilford's wall lizard) is the source of this 202-nucleotide non-coding RNA. Lineage: Eukaryota; Metazoa; Chordata; Lepidosauria; Squamata; Lacertidae. The record is from the annotation of a GenBank genome assembly.
CCCAGCUCCUGCCCACCUAGCAGUUCGAAAGCACCCCUAAGUGCAAGUAGAUAAAUAGGUACCGCUUUAUAGUGGGAAGGUAAAUGGCGUUUCCAUGUGCUGCGCUGGUGCUGGCUUGCCAGAGCAGCUUCGUCACGCUGGCCACGUGACCCGGAAGUGUCUCCGGACAGCGCUGACCCCCGGCCUCUUAAGUGAGAUGGGC